AUGCUGGUACCGGCACCAUAUACGGCUCUGGAGAAGAAGGCCAAGAAGAAAGCCAAGGGGGCCAAGAGUGGCCCCCGUUGCAAGGGCACUUCGUACGCGACGUCCGAAGACGACGAGGCCCAUUCCUCUGUCCCUGAGGACAACGACGAGGAAGAGGAAGAGGAGGAGGAAAACAACCCUCCUCCCGAGGAGAAGAAGAAGAAGUGGGUGGCCUCGACACAUCUAGAGGCGCAAGCACCCAAAAAGGGGAAGGGCGCCCCAGCGGUCAACACCGUGUGGGACGUCGAUAGCAGUCCGGAAAGUCACGCCUGCAGUAGGCCCCAGGCCGCAUCGUAA
RNAcentral lists this ribosomal RNA (336 nucleotides) under Triticum aestivum (bread wheat). Its description in RNAcentral is "partial small subunit ribosomal RNA". The record is from RNAcentral. Lineage: Eukaryota; Viridiplantae; Streptophyta; Magnoliopsida; Poales; Poaceae.